AUUGAACGCUGGCGGCAUGCCUUACACAUGCAAGUCGAACGGCAGCACGGGUGCUUGCACCUGGUGGCGAGUGGCGAACGGGUGAGUAAUACAUCGGAACGUACCUUAUCGUGGGGGAUAACGCAGCGAAAGUUGCGCUAACACCGCAUACGCCCUGAGGGGGAAAGCGGGGGACCGUAAGGCCUCGCGCGAUUAGAGCGGCCGAUGUCUGAUUAGCUUGUUGGUGAGGUAAAAGCUCACCAAGGCGAUGAUCAGUAGCUGGUCUGAGAGGACGAUCAGCCACACUGGGACUGAGACACGGCCCAGACUCCUACGGGAGGCAGCAGUGGGGAAUUUUGGACAAGGGGGGCAACCCUGAUCCAGCAAUGCCGCGUGAGUGAAGAAGGCCUUCGGGUUGUAAAGCUCUUUUGUCAGGGAAGAAACAGCAGCUCUAACACAGUCUGCGAAUGACGGUACCUGAAGAAUAAGCACCGGCUAACUACGUGCCAGCCGCCGCGGUAA
RNAcentral lists this ribosomal RNA (501 nucleotides) under uncultured bacterium. Its description in RNAcentral is "partial 16S ribosomal RNA". It matches the Rfam family "Bacterial small subunit ribosomal RNA", at positions 30 to 523 of the family's 1533-position model. The record is from RNAcentral.